This 386-nucleotide ribosomal RNA is filed under the name uncultured bacterium. RNAcentral's name for it is "bacterial SSU rRNA". It matches the Rfam family "Bacterial small subunit ribosomal RNA", at positions 30 to 417 of the family's 1533-position model. The record is from RNAcentral.
AUUGAACGCUGGCGGCAUGCCUUACACAUGCAAGUCGAACGGCAGCACGGACUUCGGUCUGGUGGCGAGUGGCGAGCGGGUGAGUAAUGUAUCGGAACGUACCUUUCAGUGGGGGAUAACGUAGCGAAAGUUACGCUAAUACCGCAUAUUCUGUGAGCAGGAAAGCAGGGGAUCGCAAGACCUUGCGCUGAUUGAGCGGCCGAUAUCAGAUUAGCUAGUUGGUGGGUAAAGGCCUACCAAGGCUACGAUCUGUAGCGGGUCUGAGAGGAUGAUCCGCCACACUGGAACUGAGACACGGUCCAGACUCCUACGGGAGGCAGCAGUGGGGAAUUUUGGACAAUGGGGGCAACCCUGAUCCAGCCAUGCCGCGUGAGUGAAGAAGGCCU